This 482-nucleotide ribosomal RNA is filed under the name uncultured bacterium. RNAcentral's name for it is "partial 16S ribosomal RNA". It matches the Rfam family "Bacterial small subunit ribosomal RNA", at positions 28 to 507 of the family's 1533-position model. The record is from RNAcentral.
GACGAACGCUGGCGGCGUGCUUAACACAUGCAAGUCGAACGCUGAAGCUCAGCUUGCUGGGUGGAUGAGUGGCGAACGGGUGAGUAACACGUGAGUAACCUGCCCUCUUCUUUGGGAUAACGCCCGGAAACGGGUGCUAAUACUGGAUAUUCACUGAUUCUCGCAUGGGGGUUGGUGGAAAGGUUUUUUCUGGUGGGGGAUGGGCUCGCGGCCUAUCAGCUUGUUGGUGGGGUGAUGGCCUACCAAGGCUUUGACGGGUAGCCGGCCUGAGAGGGUGACCGGUCACAUUGGGACUGAGAUACGGCCCAGACUCCUACGGGAGGCAGCAGUGGGGAAUAUUGCACAAUGGGCGAAAGCCUGAUGCAGCGACGCCGCGUGAGGGUUGGAGGCCUUCGGGUUGUAAACCUCUUUCGCUCAUGGUCAAGCCGCAGCGUUGGGUUGUGGUGAGGGUAGUGGGUAAAGAAGCGCCGGCUAACUACGUG